Molecule: long non-coding RNA, 1925 nt
Organism: Cyprinus carpio carpio
Lineage: Eukaryota; Metazoa; Chordata; Actinopteri; Cypriniformes; Cyprinidae
Source: Ensembl
CUUUUCUGUGAGAAUAAGUCACAAAGCAUUGUCUCCACUCACAAGUUGAGGUCAAAUGAUAAGUAUAGCUUUGAACUGGACAGAUUGGCAUCAUAUGAAACCAGAUUCAUGCCCCAGGAGAGAGACUGAAAAACAUGUAAAAAUGAGCAGAAUCUACAGCAAAUGUAUUCUUUUAUAAUGUAUCUAGCGGACAACUAAUUACAGACAACUAGAAAUGUAAUUAAGAAAAAAAAAAAACAUUUAUAGAAAAACUGCACAGAUGAAAAUACAGUAAUGGUGACUGUGAACAUAAAUGUACAUUUCCAAACAAUAAAAGAAAUAUACAAAACAAAAACCUCAACUGCUUAUCAUCAAGUUAAAGGUGUCAUAUGAGGUUGCUAAAAAAGAACAUUAUUUUGUGUAUUUGGUGUAAUGAAAUGUGUUUAUGCGGUUUAAGGUUCAAAAAACACAUUAUUUUCCAUGUACUGUACAUAAGUGUUGCUCCUCUAUGCCCUGCCUUUCUGAAACGCAUCAGUUUUUACAAAGCUCAACGUUCUGAAAAGCAGGUGUGCUCUGAUUGGCCAGUUAUCCAGUGCGUAGUGAUUGGCCGAAUACCUCAAGCGGGUGACAGAACAUACUGUGAUGCUGUCUCCCGGUGUGACAAGACAAAACCAAUAAAACCCAUUACAAACGAGGCAUUUGUUGCUUCCAGUGGGGACAUAAUUACUGAUUAUAAGGACUUAUACUGUCUUUUUACGUGUUGCAUCAUGCCGCGUAAACAUAAAACCAUGUCUGCAUUUGUGAUCAGAGAAACAACAAACAACAAGCACUACUCUACACUGCUCAAAACUCGCGUUUGAAUCAUCAGUAGAAAAUCCUUUAAAUAUGAAAACGUACUUACAGGCUGUAAGUCAGCUUUAUUUGUCAGAACACCGGCAUUGUAGGCUACUAUCCAAGGAAACAGUCCUUGUCCUCCAUAAAAUGUGUUGCACACAUCUGAAUAUUUGGGUUGAACUGUUUUGGAACAGAGUUGUAAAUACAACUUAACCACUGAUUUCUAGUUGUGUCCUCUUUUGGAAGGCCAAACAAAGUAGCUUCGCUUUUACUACAAAACACACGGCAUCUCCAUGACAUGGCAGUGGCGGCAGCAACAAUAAAAGUUACGCCUUCUUUCUUUGCAUGAACAUUUGGGAGGUGUUAUGCAAAUCUUCCCACACAGUGACGUAGACAUGUGGGGGUGUUUUUAAAUGAGGCGUUUUAGAAAGGAGUGGACGAGUCUUAACUUUUAUAAAGAAAAUCUCUUUGGGUUUGAGACUUCAGUCUUUGCAACUUUAAGGAUUUAUCUAUUCACGAACAGCUUGUAACACUCCAAAGAGAAAAGAAAACUUGAAAUUGCAUCAUAUGACCCCUGUAAGAAUGCUACCAUUCCUGAAGCUUAUCUUUACUGACUGUGAUUUUAGAACAUGUACUACUUUAUACCGGGAUAUUUUACAUCAUCUAUUGAAAGGAAUAAACACUACUGAGUGUAAAAAUACUGUAUGGCAAAGUCUGUGAAAGCACUUUUUUUUUGCUUGACAGGCACAAUACUGACAGAUACAUCAAAUAAACACUUAUACUGUAUAUUCAUACAUAUUUUUUCAGAAAGGCAUAAAAUGAGCUGAGACAAAAAAUAAUUGGCAAGUAGAGCAUAACACAAAAAGCUAGACUUCAAAGGCUGGAGCAGGGGUGAAAAAUCAUUUUGACCUUUUUCAAAAAGGUUUGAUCACAGUGUUAAACACAGUUCAUCUUGAGUAUCAACAAUCCGAAUCAAAGAACUGUGAGAACAGAGCAGCAGCAUUCACAAAUUCCAUAUGUGACACAAGAUAUAAAAGAGUUAAAAGCCAUUUGAUAUUAUUCCACUUGAAUUUUCAGCAUCAUUACUCCAGUCUUCAGUGUCACAUUAUCCU